AUGAGAUGCUGUCAGCGAGCAGAAACAGAAUAAUGACGUGUCGCACAUGUGAAGUCUCUUAAUUUCUCUGCAGCUUCGAGGAACAACAUAAAACUGAUUUCUUAAUUCGAUAUGAAGCAAACAUCACACUUGUUGAAUCACCGGCUCCUCACAAGGUUUCAUCUGGAGACUGAUCUCAGAGUGUAUUCCCAAAACUGUGUUUGAUGGUAAUGAAUCCGGUGGAAGUUAGGACGUGUCUGGAAACUUCCCCGCCAGCUGUCGUCUGCAGCUAAUUAAAUCGGACUCGCUGAUUGGUGUUUUCAAACCGUGUUGUUUUUCUGUGCGGUCAGUAAAAGUGAUCUAACUGCUGCGAGUGAAGUCCUGGAGACCGGUCGGGAGACUGUUCAGCUGUUUUGCAUGAGAGCAAAGGAUCCACCAGGUGGCGCUGUUGGUCCAGUGUCGGCACAUGUUCUGUAUAAACACACACGCCGCUGCCCUCGAAACAUUUAGCUGGAGAGAGAAAUGUGUAGAGUGUGACACAAAGUCAGAUUGUGCCAUUUCCAUCAGCUAUGUGCCCAAUGAUGUGCAUAAAACACACUGUGUGUGUGUGUGUGUGUGUGUGUGUGUGUGUGUGUGUGUGUGUGUGUGUGUGUUGUUUCCUCGUUAGUUCAUUUCAAGUCUGGUAUUUGCUUUUGCAAUAGAUCGUGUGCAUGUGACGUCACGCUUACGUCCCAACCCGUAAGUCAGCCAUGUUGGAUGAUAUACACAACCAAGACUGCGGCCGUUCACGUGGGAGUUGCUGCAACGCUUCAUAAUUCUAAUAAUAAUGUAUGAUUGUGGUCAUAACGCUACUCGUGACCCAGAGAAACGCUUCUUUAGAUUUCCUACAAUCAUCCAAAACAACGAUCCACAAAAGAGGGAUGAGUUGCUGUCUACCCAACGCCGUCAGCUGGUUUAGCAACAUAACUCGUGAGGAUUCAACAGAAGAAGAAGCACAGUUCACCCGUGUGUGUGGCGUCCACUUUAUAUCCGGAGAAGCGGCAAAGCUUUAUGAUAAAACAAACCCAGAUUGGGCGCCAACACAAAAAUGAGGACACGAAAAGAUCAGGACGAAUGCUCAUCUCGCAGCAUCAAGAAGCAGCAGGACGAAGGAAAGAUCUGCCAAGAAAGCAAAAUCCGAAGCAGCCCAAGCCUCAGUGUCUUUGAAUACACUAGAUCUAGAAUGUGUAUCAACUUCGCCAGAUGUUUACAAUAUAUGUAUAUAAAGUCCCUAAGUUUAAAAGCAUGUGCUGAUUAAUAUAUUUAAUGAAAUUGUUAUUUUAGUUUUACUAAUACAUGUUUACUUUUUGUUGAACAGAUGUACCAGAUUCAAACAAUGAAAUUGUCACAGAUGAAAAGCUCCCAGAGACCAGAGAUCGUGAAUGCCCAACAGAUCUCACGUGGUUACAAAUAUCUGCAAUGGAGCAGUGCAAUCCAAACAUGACUUUCCAAUUGGUGGAACUGAAGAAUAAAUGAUUGGACGCAGAUUUAACUGAAGCCAGUUUUCAGAUUAAUGAAGAGAAAACUAAAUUGUACACUGGACGUGCACAUUUCAUGAUACUACAGCAAGUAAUGUCAAUAUGUGGUGGAUUAGUUUAUUCAGGCACGCUCAACUCUCUAACAAAGUUUCAAGAACUCCUCUUCGUACUCAUGCACCUACGCCUUAACAUGCCCUUUGAAGAUUUGAGUUAUAGAUUUUGAAUAUCUAGGUCUACAGCAUGCCGAGUAUUUGACAAAUGGUUCGAUGUGUUGA
Long non-coding RNA from Cottoperca gobio, 1771 nucleotides. Lineage: Eukaryota; Metazoa; Chordata; Actinopteri; Perciformes; Bovichtidae. The record is from Ensembl.